UACAGAGGGUGCAAGCGUUAAUCGGAAUUACUGGGCGUAAAGCGCACGUAGGCGGUUUUUUAAGUCAGAUGUGAAAGCUCCGGGCUCGACCUGGGAAUUGCAUUUGAAACUGGGAAACUAGAGUGUGUGAGAGGGGGGUAGAAUUCCAAGUGUAGCGGUGAAAUGCGUAGAGAUUUGGAGGAAUACCAGUGGCGAAGGCGGCCCCCUGGCACAACACUGACGCUCAGGUGCGAAAGCGUGGGGAGCAAACAGG
Molecule: ribosomal RNA, 253 nt
Filed under: uncultured bacterium
Lineage: Bacteria
Description: partial 16S ribosomal RNA
Rfam family: Bacterial small subunit ribosomal RNA
Source: RNAcentral